Molecule: transfer RNA, 86 nt
Filed under: Candidatus Roizmanbacteria bacterium CG07_land_8_20_14_0_80_34_15
Lineage: Bacteria; Candidatus Roizmaniibacteriota
Description: tRNA-Leu
Rfam family: tRNA
About the family: Transfer RNA (tRNA) molecules are approximately 80 nucleotides in length. Their secondary structure includes four short double-helical elements and three loops (D, anti-codon, and T loops). Further hydrogen bonds mediate the characteristic L-shaped molecular structure. tRNAs have two regions of fundamental functional importance: the anti-codon, which is responsible for specific mRNA codon recognition, and the 3' end, to which the tRNAs corresponding amino acid is attached (by aminoacyl-tRNA synthetases). tRNAs cope with the degeneracy of the genetic code in two manners: having more than one tRNA (with a specific anti-codon) for a particular amino acid; and 'wobble' base-pairing, i.e. permitting non-standard base-pairing at the 3rd anti-codon position.
Source: RNAcentral
GCCGGGGUGGUGAAAUGGUAUACACGCAAGUUUUAGGAACUUGUGCUCGUAAGGGCGUGAAGGUUCAAGUCCUUUCCCCGGCACAA